UGCCAUUAUUAAUUUGGGUCUCUGUUUGC
RNAcentral lists this non-coding RNA (29 nucleotides) under Mus musculus (house mouse). Lineage: Eukaryota; Metazoa; Chordata; Mammalia; Rodentia; Muridae. The record is from RNAcentral.